This 59-nucleotide transfer RNA is filed under the name Erinaceus europaeus (western European hedgehog). It matches the Rfam family "tRNA", at positions 7 to 64 of the family's 71-position model. From Rfam's summary of the family: Transfer RNA (tRNA) molecules are approximately 80 nucleotides in length. Their secondary structure includes four short double-helical elements and three loops (D, anti-codon, and T loops). Further hydrogen bonds mediate the characteristic L-shaped molecular structure. tRNAs have two regions of fundamental functional importance: the anti-codon, which is responsible for specific mRNA codon recognition, and the 3' end, to which the tRNAs corresponding amino acid is attached (by aminoacyl-tRNA synthetases). tRNAs cope with the degeneracy of the genetic code in two manners: having more than one tRNA (with a specific anti-codon) for a particular amino acid; and 'wobble' base-pairing, i.e. permitting non-standard base-pairing at the 3rd anti-codon position. The record is from Rfam by way of RNAcentral. Lineage: Eukaryota; Metazoa; Chordata; Mammalia; Eulipotyphla; Erinaceidae.
GUGGCUUAGUGGUAUAGCACAGGACUUGUAGGCCUGAGAUCCUGAGUUUGAUUCCCAGC